AGAAUGACUCUCGGCAACGGAUAUCUAGGCUCUUGCAUCGAUGAAGAACGUAGCGAAAUGCGAUACUUGGUGUGAAUUGCAGAAUCCCGCGAACCAUCGAGUCUUUGAACGCAAGUUGCGCCUCAAGCCACUAGGUUGAGGGCACGUCUGCCUGGGCGUCACAU
This 164-nucleotide ribosomal RNA is filed under the name Tibetia himalaica. RNAcentral describes it as "5.8S ribosomal RNA". It matches the Rfam family "5.8S ribosomal RNA". Rfam says of the family: 5.8S ribosomal RNA (5.8S rRNA) is a component of the large subunit of the eukaryotic ribosome. Lineage: Eukaryota; Viridiplantae; Streptophyta; Magnoliopsida; Fabales; Fabaceae. The record is from RNAcentral.